UUCUUUGUAUAGGGAUAAAUCUACCCUCGUGAGGGGUAGCUGAAGGUACUAUACGAAUAAGCACCGGCUAACUCCGUGCCAGCAGCCGCGGUAAUACGGAGGGUGCAAGCGUUAUCCGGAUUAUUGGGUUUAAAGGGUCCGUAGGCGGACUUAUAAGUCAGUGGUGAAAUCCUGUCGCUUAACGAUAGAACUGCCAUUGAUACUGUAAGUCUUGAGUAUAUUUGAGGUAGCUGGAAUAAGUAGUGUAGCGGUGAAAUGCAUAGAUAUUACUUAGAACACCAAUUGCGAAGGCAGGUUACCAAGAUAUAACUGACGCUGAGGGACGAAAGCGUGGGUAGCGAACAGGAUUAGAUACCCUGGUAG
This 363-nucleotide ribosomal RNA is filed under the name uncultured bacterium. RNAcentral describes it as "bacterial SSU rRNA". It matches the Rfam family "Bacterial small subunit ribosomal RNA", at positions 432 to 793 of the family's 1533-position model. The record is from RNAcentral.